Long non-coding RNA from Gasterosteus aculeatus aculeatus (three-spined stickleback), 2447 nucleotides. Lineage: Eukaryota; Metazoa; Chordata; Actinopteri; Perciformes; Gasterosteidae. The record is from Ensembl.
CAGCGGUACUUACCGGUCAAGACUUCAGAGGAAUUUGACGGAGAUGCGUUGAUGUGACGUUAGAUUUGAUUGAUGCAUUCAGGAACAUUUGGACAUUACGCUCUCAAAAUGCCGGGUUCGAUAGAAACUGUACCAAACAAACCUCAAAGCUUAAUUCCUCAGCUGUCAUAAUGCAUUUUAUUAAAUCUAUAGUUGUCCUUUAAGAGCACUCGUAUCAUCAGCGAGAUACUAUAGUUUAAGCUGAUAAAUUGACAACAAGAUAUGGUCAAUACAUGUGGUUAAUUCUUGAAAUGUGAAAAGUUGAUUAAGUAAUGUUUUCCUAAGGCAUAAUAUGAAUUCACUAAUGAUUUUUUAGUACAUAAUACGAGACUAAUUUGUGACACUAUUACCUUGUUAAAUCUAGUUUUGGAAAUAGCAACAUUAAGCUCCUACGCGGUGUAUCAGGCAAACACUUACGUCAUCAGCCAUUAUUUCCGACAUCAUCGGAGCGCUUUUGAACUCAUCACUGUCAAAAUCACUGUCAAAAAUCCAUAUAAAAAUUUCGCGGGCAAAAGUCCAUCUCGCGCAAGCAAAAGUCGGUGAUUUGCCUCAGUCCUGUGAAAGCUGACAGAGAAGUAAGUUUGUUCCUCUCUAAAUGAGAUAAGAAAAUGAAGAAUAUGAAGAAUAACUGACAUUAAUUGAGUAUUUAUAUUGUAUAACCCUAUAAGUAUAACCCUUUUUAACAAAAGAAACAAUUAAGUGACUAGAGUUGUUUAAAAUGUUUAAGCUAGCGGUUGGAUAGAUUAUCUUGGUUAGCAAAAGCGAUUUCCAAAUAGUGGUCAUCAAUUUUUUAAUGCAGUUUAGCGUUUUAGGCAAACGUAAUGCUCUCUUUAAUCCAAUAUAUAUUAACCUUAUACGUUUGUGAUAACCAUAUACUAAUGAAGCAACACAAUAUGAAAUAAAAGAAACGUUUUAGAAAAUAAUGUGUACUAACCUACUACAUAGCUUUUUCUUAAUGCUUUGUGUUUAUUUUAAUAUUUCAGAAUGGCAUUAAAGACGCUUUUGACAACAAAGCCUCCAACACCCUAUUUUCGCCCCCCGCCAAUCCACCUAUGUGUGGUGUUGGUGGUGGAGCAGCCCAGGGUGGUGGCCUGGGAGUUUGACGCAAAUGGUGCGAGACCAGCACAGACUAAAAUGAAUAUUCUGGCCGCAUUAACAGAUGGGGAUUCAGUGGCCAAGGUCACUGUAUUCGAGGAGUUUGGAAAAAGAUUUAAGGAGGGUGGCAGUUAUAAUGUGAAGGGGCUGUCUCUGAGAGGGCAGUCCCCCCCAUAUCAAUUAAACAUUACCAAGGACACGCUGUUCUUUAGGAGCGCUCCUAUAGCGCUCAGCGCAGCGCUCAAACGUGAAGCAGAGCUUCUAAUACACCCCCCCUCUCCACUGACUCCGCUGAGCACCUGCCGGGAAGCCAGGGGCCUUAUAACCGUGGAGGGCGAGGUGGUCGAGCUGUCAGCUUUAAAAGAAGUCACGACAGGGAGAGACGUCGUUCCAUUGCGGAACGUCACGAUGCAGCAGGGGGAAUCACAGAUGUCGCUGUGUUUCUGGAGGGAGGCGGCCGUAUGGCAGCUGCAGGUGGGGGCCCACAUUAAAGUUUCCCAUCUUAAAGCUGGAAGGUCUAACUAUGGGCUCAGACUCCAGUCCACAAACUUUUCCACCAUCGAGGAGGUACGCUCAGAGGACAUCGUGGGGGCACUCGGGGUGAUGGAGAUUGAGGGAGAUCCGGGGAACCUCAACCUUCUUCUGGAAGACGGCCGUACCGUCUUAAUUGAGGAGAGAUUGUGGGAGCCAAUCGAACUUGUCAUGAUUGAACCCGUGAUAAAAGUUCAAAUUAAAAUGACAGGAAACAAGGUGCAGGCGAUUGAAGUGGCGAAAAAUUAAAAUUUCUACUGUUAUAAAAUGUAUAUGUUUAUAAGAUUGUGUUCAUAAUGUAUUAGUUAUGUGUUCAUUUUGUUGUUCAUUUUGUUUUGACUUGUUACUUAUGUUCAAUUGUUUUUUUUACGCUUGUUUAUAAUUGUUAUUUGUUGCAAUAAAUAUUCAACCGUAGCAAUGUUGUCCGUUACUGUUCAUUUUGAAUGCUGUAUGUGACUUAUUUUCAGUAGAGGUUUCUUAUCCCCUUUAGCAAUGAUGGCUGGUGGAACACUUCCUAUAGGACCAUCCAAUCAAUUUCAGCAAACAUUCAAGUAUUAGUUAAUAAAAACAAUAAGGGGAAUCAAAAGCAUUAGUACCUUGCAGUUGGGUAUAAUUUAUUCCAGCACUAAAAAAGCAGUAAAUAACACUGACAUCUUAUUUCUGUCACCCUCACAGGUAAUUCAGUAUAAUAUUCAUACAUUUUAUAUUAUGUGUCCUUCAAACUAUGACGUUAUCAAUCGAUAGGCCUCAUCAAAAACAUUACAGUAAGAAUUCCCUCCAUG